UACGUAGGGGGCAAGCGUUAUCCGGAAUUACUGGGUGUAAAGGGAGCGUAGACGGUAAUGUAAGUCUGGAGUGAAAGGCGGGGGCCCAACCCCCGGACUGCUCUGGAAACUAUGUUACUAGAGUGCAGGAGAGGUAAGCGGAAUUCCUAGUGUAGCGGUGAAAUGCGUAGAUAUUAGGAGGAACACCGGUGGCGAAGGCGGCUUACUGGACUGUAACUGACGUUGAGGCUCGAAAGCGUGGGGAGCAAACAGG
Molecule: ribosomal RNA, 253 nt
Filed under: uncultured bacterium
Lineage: Bacteria
Description: partial 16S ribosomal RNA
Rfam family: Bacterial small subunit ribosomal RNA
Source: RNAcentral